RNAcentral lists this ribosomal RNA (253 nucleotides) under Chitinophagaceae bacterium. RNAcentral describes it as "partial 16S ribosomal RNA". It matches the Rfam family "Bacterial small subunit ribosomal RNA", at positions 524 to 776 of the family's 1533-position model. RNAcentral also lists the same sequence under 1 other name. The record is from RNAcentral. Lineage: Bacteria; Pseudomonadati; Bacteroidota; Chitinophagia; Chitinophagales; Chitinophagaceae.
UACGGAGGGUGCAAGCGUUAUCCGGAUUCACUGGGUUUAAAGGGUGCGUAGGUGGAUAUGUAAGUCAGUGGUGAAAUCUCCAAGCUUAACUUGGAAACUGCCGUUGAUACUAUAUAUCUUGAAUGCUGUGGAGGUGAGCGGAAUAUGUCAUGUAGCGGUGAAAUGCUUAGAUAUGACAUAGAACACCAAUUGCGAAGGCAGCUCACUACCCAGAUAUUGACACUGAGGCACGAAAGCGUGGGGAUCAAACAGG